UCCCUGGUGGUCUAGAGGUGAGGACUCUGAGCUUUCACUGCUGUGGCCUGGGUUCAAUCCCUGGUUGGGGAA
RNAcentral lists this transfer RNA (72 nucleotides) under Bos taurus (domestic cattle). It matches the Rfam family "tRNA". Rfam says of the family: Transfer RNA (tRNA) molecules are approximately 80 nucleotides in length. Their secondary structure includes four short double-helical elements and three loops (D, anti-codon, and T loops). RNAcentral also lists the same sequence under 5 other names. Lineage: Eukaryota; Metazoa; Chordata; Mammalia; Artiodactyla; Bovidae. The record is from Rfam by way of RNAcentral.